GGGGCUGUGGCUCAAUGGCAGAGCGCUCGCCUAGCACAUGUGAGGCCCUGGGUUCGAUCCUCAGCACCA
Molecule: transfer RNA, 69 nt
Filed under: Ictidomys tridecemlineatus (thirteen-lined ground squirrel)
Lineage: Eukaryota; Metazoa; Chordata; Mammalia; Rodentia; Sciuridae
Description: Spermophilus tridecemlineatus (thirteen-lined ground squirrel) tRNA
Rfam family: tRNA
About the family: Transfer RNA (tRNA) molecules are approximately 80 nucleotides in length.
Source: Rfam by way of RNAcentral